This 774-nucleotide ribosomal RNA is filed under the name uncultured Neocallimastigales. RNAcentral's name for it is "partial large subunit ribosomal RNA". It matches the Rfam family "Eukaryotic large subunit ribosomal RNA", at positions 24 to 643 of the family's 3401-position model. The record is from RNAcentral. Lineage: Eukaryota; Fungi; Neocallimastigomycota; Neocallimastigomycetes; Neocallimastigales.
UAUGUGAUCGUCUCUCGCAUAUCAAUAAGCGGAGGAAAAGAAACUAACAAGGAUUCCCCUAGUAACGGCGAGUGAAGCGGGAAGAGCUCAAAUUUGAAAUCUUAAAGGGUUUCCCUUUACGAAUUGUAGUUUAAAGAAGUGUUUUCUGUUGAGGUUUUGGUAAAAGUUCUUUGGAAUAGGACAUCAUAGAGGGUGAGAAUCCCGUAUUUGACCUUUACUUUCAACUUUGUGAUACACCUUCAAAGAGUCGGAUUGUUUGGGAAUGCAGUCCAAAAUGGGUGGUAAAUUUCAUCUAAAGCUAAAUAUUGGCGAGAGACCGAUAGCGAACAAGCACCGUGAGGGAAAGAUGAAAAGAACUUUGAAAAGAGAGUUAAACAGUACGUGAAAUUGUCAAAAGGGAAGCGUUUGACACCAGUGUUGUUUUUCUGAAAAUCAAUUAAAGAACUGUUUAUGCUAAGUUGUUUAGACUUUAUCAGCUAACUGUUUAGUUUUGAGCUUUUCUUUAAUGCACUUUUCAGUUAACAAGUCAACAUCAAUUUCUUUUGCUGUAAAAAAGCUUGAGGAAGGUGGCUUGAGAUUCGUCUUAAGUGUUUAUAGCCUCUUGCCUAUGCAGUCGGAGAGAUUGAGGUCUGCAGCGUAGAUCCUUCGGGGCUAAAUGCAUUUGUGCUAAGUUAUAGCAUUUUAUAGACAACUUGUUGACUAUGAUUUGUCUUGUAGCUUACUCGCUUAUGUUAUUUUACCUACGCUUAGGAUGUUGACACACGCGCGUGCUCG